RNAcentral lists this ribosomal RNA (315 nucleotides) under uncultured bacterium. RNAcentral's name for it is "bacterial SSU rRNA". It matches the Rfam family "Bacterial small subunit ribosomal RNA", at positions 28 to 334 of the family's 1533-position model. The record is from RNAcentral.
GAUAAACGCUGGCGGCGCACAUAAGACAUGCAAGUCGAACGGACUUAACUCAUUCUUUUAGAUUGAGAGCGGUUAGUGGCGGACUGGUGAGUAACACGUAAGCAACCUGCCUAUCAGAGGGGAACAACAGUUAGAAAUGACUGCUAAUACCGCAUAUACCUAAGUAUCGCAUGGUACAAUAGGGAAAGGAGCAAUCCGCUGAUAGAUGGGCUUGCGUCUGAUUAGCUAGUUGGCGGGGUAACGGCCCACCAAGGCGACGAUCAGUAGCCGGACUGAGAGGUUGGCCGGCCACAUUGGGACUGAGACACGGCCCAG